Molecule: ribosomal RNA, 1541 nt
Filed under: Escherichia coli
Lineage: Bacteria; Pseudomonadati; Pseudomonadota; Gammaproteobacteria; Enterobacterales; Enterobacteriaceae
Description: bacterial SSU rRNA
Rfam family: Bacterial small subunit ribosomal RNA
Source: RNAcentral
AAAUUGAAGAGUUUGAUCAUGGCUCAGAUUGAACGCUGGCGGCAGGCCUAACACAUGCAAGUCGAACGGUAACAGGAAACAGCUUGCUGUUUCGCUGACGAGUGGCGGACGGGUGAGUAAUGUCUGGGAAACUGCCUGAUGGAGGGGGAUAACUACUGGAAACGGUAGCUAAUACCGCAUAACGUCGCAAGACCAAAGAGGGGGACCUUCGGGCCUCUUGCCAUCAGAUGUGCCCAGAUGGGAUUAGCUAGUAGGUGGGGUAACGGCUCACCUAGGCGACGAUCCCUAGCUGGUCUGAGAGGAUGACCAGCCACACUGGAACUGAGACACGGUCCAGACUCCUACGGGAGGCAGCAGUGGGGAAUAUUGCACAAUGGGCGCAAGCCUGAUGCAGCCAUGCCGCGUGUAUGAAGAAGGCCUUCGGGUUGUAAAGUACUUUCAGCGGGGAGGAAGGGAGUAAAGUUAAUACCUUUGCUCAUUGACGUUACCCGCAGAAGAAGCACCGGCUAACUCCGUGCCAGCAGCCGCGGUAAUACGGAGGGUGCAAGCGUUAAUCGGAAUUACUGGGCGUAAAGCGCACGCAGGCGGUUUGUUAAGUCAGAUGUGAAAUCCCCGGGCUCAACCUGGGAACUGCAUCUGAUACUGGCAAGCUUGAGUCUCGUAGAGGGGGUAGAAUUCCAGGUGUAGCGGUGAAAUGCGUAGAGAUCUGGAGGAAUACCGGUGGCGAAGGCGGCCCCCUGGACGAAGACUGACGCUCAGGUGCGAAAGCGUGGGGAGCAAACAGGAUUAGAUACCCUGGUAGUCCACGCCGUAAACGAUGUCGACUUGGAGGUUGUGCCCUUGAGGCGUGGCUUCCGGAGCUAACGCGUUAAGUCGACCGCCUGGGGAGUACGGCCGCAAGGUUAAAACUCAAAUGAAUUGACGGGGGCCCGCACAAGCGGUGGAGCAUGUGGUUUAAUUCGAUGCAACGCGAAGAACCUUACCUGGUCUUGACAUCCACGGAAGUUUUCAGAGAUGAGAAUGUGCCUUCGGGAACCGUGAGACAGGUGCUGCAUGGCUGUCGUCAGCUCGUGUUGUGAAAUGUUGGGUUAAGUCCCGCAACGAGCGCAACCCUUAUCCUUUGUUGCCAGCGGUCCGGCCGGGAACUCAAAGGAGACUGCCAGUGAUAAACUGGAGGAAGGUGGGGAUGACGUCAAGUCAUCAUGGCCCUUACGACCAGGGCUACACACGUGCUACAAUGGCGCAUACAAAGAGAAGCGACCUCGCGAGAGCAAGCGGACCUCAUAAAGUGCGUCGUAGUCCGGAUUGGAGUCUGCAACUCGACUCCAUGAAGUCGGAAUCGCUAGUAAUCGUGGAUCAGAAUGCCACGGUGAAUACGUUCCCGGGCCUUGUACACACCGCCCGUCACACCAUGGGAGUGGGUUGCAAAAGAAGUAGGUAGCUUAACCUUCGGGAGGGCGCUUACCACUUUGUGAUUCAUGACUGGGGUGAAGUCGUAACAAGGUAACCGUAGGGGAACCUGCGGUUGGAUCACCUCCUUA